Molecule: non-coding RNA, 1419 nt
Organism: Salmo salar (Atlantic salmon)
Lineage: Eukaryota; Metazoa; Chordata; Actinopteri; Salmoniformes; Salmonidae
Source: RefSeq, a predicted model, not a curated record
GGAGCAGCUUGCUGUCUGCACUACCAACCCUACCACCAACUGCUAGUUAAUAUGGUCCAGAGACCGUAUUCACAAAGCAUCUCAGAGUUGAGAGUGCUGAUCUAGGAUCUGUUUUGCCUUUUAGACCUAUAUCAUAAUGCUUUUAUGGACAAGGGGACCUGCUCCUAGAUCGACACCUACUCUGAGGAGCCUGUAUACAUCAGGAACAGGCUAACCUACUACCCCUUCUUAAUGUUAAACUCCCCUGCCUGCCUGCCAGUCCUAAUGUUAACCUCCCCUGCUUGCAUGCCUCCUCCUGCCAGUCCUACAGAUAGAAGGUACCCAGUCUCCCCCUGCUAGUCCUAUGGAUAGAAGGUACCCAGUCUCCCCCUGCCAGUCCUAUAGAUAGAAGGUACCCAGUCUCCCCCUGCCAGUCCUAUGGAUAGAAGGUACCCAGCCUCCCCCUGCCAGUCCUAUAGAUAGAAGGUACCCAGCCUCCCCCUGCCAGUCCUAUGGAUAGAAGGUACCCAGUCUCCCCCUGCUAGUCCUAUAGAUAGAAGGUACCCAGUCUCCCCCUGCCAGUCCUAUAGAUAGAAGGUACCCAGCCUCCCCCUGCCAGUCGUAUGGAUAGAAGGUACCCAGUCUCCCCCUGCCAGUCCUAUAGAUAGAAGGUACCCAGCCUCCCCCUGCCAGUCCUAUAGAUAGAAGGUACCCAGUCUCCCCCUGCUAGUCCUAUGGAUAGAAGGUACCCAGCCUCCCCCUGCCAGUCCUAUAGAUAGAAGGUACCCAGCCUCCCCCUGCCAGUCCUAUAGAUAGAAGGUACCCAGCCUCCCCCUGCCAGUCCUAUAGAUAGAAGGUACCCAGCCUCCCCCUGCCAGUCCUAUAGAUAGAAGGUACCCAGCCUCCCCCUGCCAGUCCUGUAGAUAGAAGGUACCCAGCCUCCCCCUGCCAGUCCUAUAGAUAUAAGGUACCCAGCCUCCCCCUGCCAGUCCUAUAGAUAGAAGGUACCCAGCCUCCCCCUGCCAGUCCUGUAGAUAGAAGGUACCCAGCCUCCCCCUGCCAGUCCUGUAGAUAGAAGGUACCCAGCCUCCCCCUGCCAGUCCUAUAGAUAGAAGGUACCCAGCCUCCCCCUGCCAGUCCUGUAGAUAGAAGGUACCCAGCCAAAACGCCUCUACAAACAGCAAUACAAUCUGCUUUCUACAACCUUCAUUGUAUUGUUGGCUAUAACUCACAUUGUACAUAGAAGAUGGUUUCACAGAAGUCUGUUUGUGCUAGACUGACUGGGGGGGAUAGAGUUGAACUCAAGAAGGAUGAUGUCUCAGCUGACACUACUGUUACAUGUCUAUCUAUCUAACCACUAUAUCAACACUACUGCUACAUGUCUAUCUAUCUAACCACUAUAUCAACACUACUGCUACAUGUCUAUCUAUCGAACCACUA